This is a small nuclear RNA of Neoarius graeffei (lesser salmon catfish), 112 nucleotides long. RefSeq annotates it as U5 spliceosomal RNA. The record is from RefSeq and is a predicted model, not a curated record. The transcript has a single exon. Lineage: Eukaryota; Metazoa; Chordata; Actinopteri; Siluriformes; Ariidae.
AGUUCAGGUUUCUCUUCAUUGACGUAUAAAUCUUUCGCCUUUUACUAAAGAUUGUUGGAGAGAAAUGUUAAUGAGUUCAAUAUAUUUUUGUAGGCUUUGCUCUAGCUGAGCU